AGAGUUUGAUCAUGGCUCAGAAUCAACGCUGGCGGCGCGCCUAACACAUGCAAGUCGAACGAGAAAGCCGGGGCAACCUGGUGAGUACAGUGGCGUACGGGUGAGUAACACGUGGAUGAUCUACCUCUUAGUUCGGAAUAACGCUGGGAAACCGGGGCUAAUACCGGAUGAGCUCGAGAGAGGAAAGCAGUAAUGCGCUGAGAGAGGAGUCCGCGGCCGAUUAGCUAGUUGGCAGGGUAAAAGCCUACCAAGGCGAAGAUCGGUAGCCGGCCUGAGAGGGCACACGGCCACACUGGCACUGAAACACGGGCCAGACUCCUACGGGAGGCAGCAGUGGGGAAUCUUGCACAAUGGGGGAAACCCUGAUGCAGCGACGCCGCGUGAGCGAUGAAGCCCUUCGGGGUGUAAAGCUCUUUCGUCAGGGAAGAUGAUGACGGUACCUGGAGAAGCAGCUGCGGCUAACUACGUGCCAGCAGCCGCGGUAAUACGUAGGCAGCGAGCGUUGUUCGGAGUUACUGGGCGUAAAGGGUGUGUAGGCGGUGAUUUAAGUUUGGUGUGAAAUCUCCCGGCUCAACUGGGAGGGAGCGCCGAAUACUGAAUGACUUGGAGUACGGGAGAGGAAAGUGGAAUUCCUGGUGUAGCGGUGAAAUGCGUAGAUAUCAGGAGGAACACCGGUGGUGUAGGCGGCUUUCUGGACCGUAACUGACGCUGAGACACGAAAGCGUGGGUAGCAAACAGGAUUAGAUACCCUGGUAGUCCACGCCCUAAACGAUGCAUAUUUGGUGUGGGCAGUUCAUUCUGUCCGUGCCGGAGCUAACGCGUUAAAUAUGCCGCCUGGGGAGUACAGUCGCAAGGCUGAAACUCAAAGGAAUUGACGGGGGCCCGCACAAGCGGUGGAGCAUGUGGUUCAAUUCGACGCAACGCGAAGAACCUUACCUGGGCUCGAACGGCUGGUCAACGGAGGUGGAAACACUUUUACCCCGCAAGGGGGUCC
This 994-nucleotide ribosomal RNA is filed under the name uncultured bacterium. RNAcentral's name for it is "bacterial SSU rRNA". It matches the Rfam family "Bacterial small subunit ribosomal RNA", at positions 8 to 1030 of the family's 1533-position model. The record is from RNAcentral.